This 527-nucleotide long non-coding RNA is filed under the name Ananas comosus (pineapple). RNAcentral describes it as "long non-coding RNA (ACOM_LNC002096)". The record is from RNAcentral. Lineage: Eukaryota; Viridiplantae; Streptophyta; Magnoliopsida; Poales; Bromeliaceae.
AUAAGUUAUUUUCGAUGAUAGAGCUUCCGAAUCGAUGAUCCACACCGUUAAACAUUAUCUAGAGCAUUUAAAACGUUUAGAAAUCAAAUUUUAUAAUUUUUCGACAUCAUUUACCUUACGAUCAAAAGCUCACAAAAUCAAUAGUUUCUAACGGCCGGUAUGAGAUAUUUGCUAGUUUAACGGUGAAAAAGAAUCGGAAUAGGUUGAAUUUUUGAUAGAAAAUUCUAUUCACUACCUAAAUAAAGAUCAAUAACUCCGAUCUUAAAUUGAAGGAUCCAAUCAUCCAUUUUUAGGAUGUCGUUCAAUUUUAACCGUUCAUUUUAUACUCGCUGAUGGACUUUAUAAUGAUUCGAAAAAUUAUGAAAUUUAUUUUUGAGAAGUUUCAAAUACUCUAGAUCAUGUUUAACGGUGUGGAUUGUCAAUUCGAAAAUCCCAACAUCGAAAAUAACUUAUGAGUAUGAAGGGCUCUAUACUCAUAAGAGUAUAUAGUAGCCACACUCUAUAUAUAUAUAAACACUUGGGGGUUA